UAGGGAAUCUUCCGCAAUGGGCGAAAGCUUGACGGAGCAACGCCGCGUGAGUGAUGAAGGUCUUCGGAUCGUAAAACUCUGUUAUUAGGGAAGAACAAAUGUGUAAGUAACUAUGCACGUCUUGACGGUACCUAAUCAGAAAGCCACGGCUAACUACGUGCCAGCAGCCGCGGUAAUACGUAGGUGGCAAGCGUUAUCCGGAAUUAUUGGGCGUAAAGCGCGCGUAGGCGGUUUUUUAAGUCUGAUGUGAAAGCCCACGGCUCAACCGUAGAGGGUCAUUGGAAACUGGAAAACUUGAAUGCAGAGGAGGAAAGUGGUAUUCCAUGUGUAGCGGUGAAGUGCGCAGAUAUAUGGGGGAACACCAGUGGCGAAGGCGACCUUCUGGUCUGUAACUGACGCUGAUGUGCGAAAGCGUGGGGAUCAAACAAG
This 429-nucleotide ribosomal RNA is filed under the name Actinomycetes bacterium. RNAcentral describes it as "Actinobacteria bacterium partial 16S ribosomal RNA". It matches the Rfam family "Bacterial small subunit ribosomal RNA", at positions 355 to 776 of the family's 1533-position model. The record is from RNAcentral. Lineage: Bacteria; Bacillati; Actinomycetota; Actinomycetes.